UAAGCCCACGCCGGUCGAAGAUACCAGGCCGCUGCGACUGUUUAUUAAAAACACAGCACUCUGCAAACACGAAAGUGGACGUAUAGGGUGUGACGCCUGCCCGGUGCCGGAAGGUUAAUUGAUGGGGUUAGCUAACGCGAAGCUCUUGAUCGAAGCCCCGGUAAACGGCGGCCGUAACUAUAACGGUCCUAAGGUAGCGAAAUUCCUUGUCGGGUAAGUUCCGACCUGCACGAAUGGCGUAACGAUGGCGGCGCUGUCUCCACCCGAGACUCAGUGAAAUUGAAAUCGCUGUGAAGAUGCAGUGUAUCCGCGGCUAGACGGAAAGACCCCGUGAACCUUUACUAUAGCUUUGCACUGGACUUUGAAUUUGCUUGUGUAGGAUAGGUGGGAGGCUUUGAAGCGUGGACGCCAGUUCGCGUGGAGCCAUCCUUGAAAUACCACCCUGGCAACUUUGAGGUUCUAACUCAGGUCCGUUAUCCGGAUCGAGGACAGUGUAUGGUGGGUAGUUUGACUGGGGCGGUCUCCUCCUAAAGAGUAACGGAGGAGUACGAAGGUGCGCUCAGACCGGUCGGAAAUCGGUCGUAGAGUAUAAAGGCAAAAGCGCGCUUGACUGCGAGACAGACACGUCGAGCAGGUACGAAAGUAGGUCUUAGUGAUCCGGUGGUUCUGUAUGGAAGGGCCAUCGCUCAACGGAUAAAAGGUACUCCGGGGAUAACAGGCUGAUACCGCCCAAGAGUUCAUAUCGACGGCGGUGUUUGGCACCUCGAUGUCGGCUCAUCACAUCCUGGGGCUGAAGCCGGUCCCAAGGGUAUGGCUGUUCGCCAUUUAAAGUGGUACGCGAGCUGGGUUUAGAACGUCGUGAGACAGUUCGGUCCCUAUCUGCCGUGGACGUUUGAGAUUUGAGAGGGGCUGCUCCUAGUACGAGAGGACCGGAGUGGACGAACCUCUGGUGUUCCGGUUGUCACGCCAGUGGCAUUGCCGGGUAGCUAUGUUCGGAAAAGAUAACCGCUGAAAGCAUCUAAGCGGGAAACUUGCCUCAAGAUGAGAUCUCACUGGGACCUUGAGUCCCCUGAAGGGCCGUCGAAGACUACGACGUUGAUAGGUUGGGUGUGUAAGCGCUGUGAGGCGUUGAGCUAACCAAUACUAAUUGCCCGUGAGGCUUGACCA
This 1167-nucleotide ribosomal RNA is filed under the name Pseudomonas sp. GM49. RNAcentral's name for it is "bacterial LSU rRNA". It matches the Rfam family "Bacterial large subunit ribosomal RNA", at positions 1763 to 2925 of the family's 2925-position model. Lineage: Bacteria; Pseudomonadati; Pseudomonadota; Gammaproteobacteria; Pseudomonadales; Pseudomonadaceae. The record is from RNAcentral.